This is an RNA transcript of Pseudophryne corroboree (corroboree frog), 6824 nucleotides long. It is a transcript of the gene named carcinoembryonic antigen-related cell adhesion molecule 3-like, with no coding region annotated. The transcript is spliced from 8 exons. Lineage: Eukaryota; Metazoa; Chordata; Amphibia; Anura; Myobatrachidae. The record is from RefSeq and is a predicted model, not a curated record.
AUGCUGGUAAGCCACAUUCCCAUAAAAUCCCGGGCAAUUAAAAUGUUGUUUUCUGCUUCCUCCUUCCUGAAUGUGAGACAGAAAAUGAAGACACAUUUUACAAAAUGUUCUAUGGUGGAUACUUUAUGAACUGGCAGCGCUGGAGAUGUCUUCUAGCAGCCCUUAUAUGUAUGCAAGUGGACAGAAGUGUUUCCUAUCUAACCAUCACAUCACAACCAUUGAAGCCAACUGUGGGUCAAACUGUGUUGCUGAAUGUUAAGUAUGGAGAUGCAAUCCGAGAUAUCAGCUGGUACAAAGGAGAGAGAAGAGAGCCAUCAAUGAAUAUUCUGAAAUACACACCUAAACCCUAUAACACUACGACUUAUGGACCAAUGUUUACUGGGAGAGAGAAAAUCAUGGAUAAUGGAUCAUUGCAGAUAUCAAACCUCACAACCUCCGAUAGUGGAAUCUACACUCUAGUGGUUACUACUGUAAAAUCUAUGAUAACUGAUAAUAUUCAGCUGACUGUGAAAUCUGCCGUUCGAAGUUAUCCACUUCCAGGUCCUCCUACCAGAUCUCCACUACCUCUAUCUACCACUGUUGUUAGACUGGGAGACAACAACUAUAAUGCGGUUAUAGGCAUUGCAAUUGGAUUACUAGCUGCAGUUAUAGUAGCUGUGGUUGUGGCAGUACUUUUGUAUAGAAGAUUUCACAGAUCACCAAAGGCUACAGUUUGUGAGAAACCAUCUCUAAAUGUUACCUAUAAACAACAAACAAAUAAAGGGAGAAGAUUGCCUUCUAUUCCCCGAAACGCUCCGACAUACCAGAAUGAACAAGCUGGAAUUAAUGAUGAAGAACAUCCAUAUACUGAUCUUACAUACAUCUAUUUAGAGAGUUCAUAUGACAACCUUCAGAGACCACAGCAGUAACACUAGAUGAUACAAUGAAAUGAUUUACAGUACAUAAAGAAGUAUAUCUUGCCACUGCCAGUGACAUUGUGGACUUAUGAAAAUUCAACCAAGAAGCUUUGAAGAUACACAGAUAUCAACUAUAUAUCUCAAUGGGGUGUAGUAUGGUAUGCCGGCGGCUGGGAUCCUGACCGCCAGCAUACCGGCAGCUGGUAGAGCGCAAAUGAGACCCUUGUGGGCACGGUGGCGCACUAUGCGUGCCACGCUGUUUAUUCUCCCUCCAGGGGGGUCGUGGACCCCCAAGAGGGAGCAUAGUUGUUGGUAUGCCAGGUGUCGGUAUUCCGGCGCCGGUAUACUGACCGCCGGGAUCCCAACAGCCGGCAUACUGAAUACCACCCAUCUCAAUGAACCUAAUCCUGAGCUUUGGCUUUCAAAUUACUGCCCAUUCAAAGUUGAUGUCCAAAAUGUGUUAUGUGUUAUGUGUUAUGAGUACACAAGCUCUGUCUUUAUUUGUCUUUUAUUUCCUGUGUUGUAUUUUGACAUUUUAAUGUUAUUAUUACAUUGGUAUUUGUGUACCAGUAUAAAUGCACUUGCCUGUAUAAGGUGCACCUUUAUUAUAACUAUUUCUGUAGCUUCUCCAUAUUGAACAGGUCUUUACAGAUAAUAAUUAGUCACUCACACUAGUCCUUUCUCCUUCAGAGCUUACAGACUAAGGGGUACAUUUACUAAGCAGUGAUAAGAGUGGAGAAGUGAGCCAGUGGAUACAUUUCAACCAAUCAGCAGAUCUGUAUCAUUUUAUAAUAUGCAAAUUAUAGAUGUUACUUCAGUGCUGAUUGGUUGCCAUGGGCAUCUUCUCCACUGGCUCAUGUCUCCGCCUUUAUCCCUGCUUAGUAAAUGUACCCCUUAAUUCUGUAUCGCACAAUACACACAUUUUGUCAGCAGCCAAUAAACAUACCAGAAUGAUUUUGGACUGUAGGAGAAAGCCAUAGCUGUGAGGAAACUGGAGGGCAUAUUUUGUUUUUUGCACCAUGCCAGCUAACCUGGUAGCAGUGUUAAGCUGGGUACACCCUAGAUGACGGAUCGGAACAACACAUCGUUAUAAAUGUCUAGUGUGUACGCACUAUGUCGCUGAGGGUGCGUGCUCCCAUAUGUCAUCAGUGACAUCCUCCAUCAGACCUACAUCGCUGGCAUCGGCAAGUGUGUAUGCACUUGUUAAUGCCGGCACCUCCGCCGGGUCAUGUCGCCACCAAUGUCAUGUUUGGCACACAUCGUCUAAUGUGUACCCAGCAUUAUGCUUCAGCCUAGGAUGCACAGUAGCUUUAGGAGCUCGGAGGUUAUACACAAAAAUAGGCUUUAUUGCACAAAGUCAACUCAUAUAAUACAAAUGCCAGGGGAUUUACCAACAGAGACGGCCAUAGGCAUAGGCAAACUAGGCAAUUGCCUAGGGCAUUUGAUAUGCCUAGGGGCAUCAUCAGCUUCUGCUGAUUAAAAUGAUAUGCGGCAUGCCUAUAUUCUGUAUGUGGCAUUUCAUAUGCAGAUACAGCCACAGUCUCACACAGUAUAUAGGCAUGCCGCAUAUCAUUUUAAUUAGCAGAAGCUGCUUGUGCAUCCUAGCCACAUAGCAAUGCAAAUAAGAUGCAUUUUCAUAAUAAAUAGGCACCAGAUGUUAGCAGAGCUGCCAGAUGACACGCCAGGAACUAUAUGUGUCAUUAUGUGUAUAAGGGCAUUAAUAAUGUGUAACAUAUGUGUAAGGGGCACUAUGUGUGUCAUUAUGUGUAUAAGGGCACUAAUAAUGUACGGCAUAUGUGUAAGGGACAUUAUGUGUGUCAUUAUGUGUAUAAAGGCAUUAACAAUGUGUGGCACAUGUGUAAGGGAAAUUAUGUGUAUAAGGGCAUUAAUAAGGGUUGUCAUAAUGUGUAAUGCGCAUUAUGUUUAUAAGGACAUUAAUAAUGUGUGUCAUAUGUGUAAGGGGCAUUACUGUGUGGUAUUAUGUGUAUAAAUGCAUUACCAAUGUGUGGAAUUAUGUGUAUAAGGUGCUCUACUGUGUGGCAUAACGUAUAGAAAGGGCACUACUGUGUGGUCUAAUGUGAAUAAAGAGCAAUAUGGCGUGGUGUAAUGAGAAUAAAGAGCAAUAUGGUGUGGUGUAAUGUGAAUAAGGAGCAAUAUGGUGUGGUGUAAUGAGAAUAAAGUGCAAUAUGGUGUGGUGUAAUGUGAAUAAGGAGCAAUUCAGUAUGAUGUUAUGUGAAUGAGGGGUAACCUAUAUAAGGUAAAGUGCAUAGGUGUGCGCAGGGGGUGUGUGCGCAGGGGGGGGGGUGCGCUGGUGUGCACAGGCACCUCCUAAUGUCUGGCAGCCCGAUCUCACAUUCCUGAUGCAGCGAUAGCCGAGCAGGCUGAUUACUGUCCCAUCUGCGCUGCACCCUGUCAGGACUGCAUUACUGACCAGACGCCUGGGUUAAUCAAGGGUGCCACUGCCACCGGCUUUCAAUCUCCCGACUCCACCUCCAUGUACAAAGACAGCGUGAUCUGACGUGAUUACGUCAUGCUGCUCGCACACUCACCCGUCACACCCGCCACAUGCCCACCUCUCUCCUUCUAUGCUAUUCCAACGCCAGCCACUGAUGAGGAGCAGCAUGUAGCCAGCGUUCCUUUUAGGAAGACAAAUUCAAUACUGGCAGGCGGUCGGCAGCAGUAUUGACACGUCACUCGUUUUUCCUGCAGCAGCAGUACUAGUCUGCGACUGUCAGUGUCAGUGAGUGACUGACUUGUAAGUAAGCUGCUGCAGCUUGCAGGGGAAAGAGAGGGGGAGCCAGACCAGGCUGAGGAGGAGCACUGUAAUUGCAGUGAGUGCCAUCAGGGGUGUUUGUUUGGUGCACACCACAACAUCUGACAAUGUAUUUGCUUUAUUAGGAUUGGUCCAAGGGUGGAUAUUUUAUAUUGCAUUGACCGUCAAUAGAUGGUGCUAGACACGCCCAAAAGGCGGUGCUAUACACACCCCUCCGACGGUGCACCCCUUAAUAAAAUGUGCUGCGCACGCCUAUGGUAAAGUGGUACUACUGUGUGAUGUAAUGUGAAUAAGGGACACUAUCGCAUUAUAAAUUGUGAAUAAAGUUGCACUACUGUGAGGCAUAAGUUGAAUUGGGGUUACUUGUGUGUUCAUGCCCCUUGCCAGCAAAACCACAUACCUUUUUGGGCUGUGUGCCGAAUGUGCACACUGUUCUUAUUUAAAUUACAGGGGGUAGGGAAAAAAAAGGACUGCUAUGGGUGGGGGGUGAUGGUGCUGGGAAAGGGGUGCAGGGUCAGAGGCGGAACUAGCGGUGGUGCUAGGCGGCACCAGCCAAAAUCUUGCCUAGGGCAUCAUAUUGGUUAGGGCCGGCUCUGGCUAGCUUUACUGGGUGGCUGGUUCCGUGGGUGCUCCUCUGUGUCCGUGGGUGCUUAGGCCCAGGAGCAUCUACGGAAUCAGUGAAUAUGAGACCCGUUAUGUCAAAUUAAAGUGAAUAUUUCUUUUUCUGGGCUGUCUGAUAACCAUUCACCAGUAAAAAUUAAGGAUCAACAGAUUUGCAUAAAAAGAGAGACCUCUUUUUGUAUCAUGAAUUAAUAGCUGUAAUGAUAAUUGUUACUUUUUAGAAUGAACAAGCUGGAAUUAAUGAUGAAGAACAUCCAUAUACUGAUCUUACAUACAUCUAUUUAGAGAGUUCAUAUGACAACCUUCAGAGACCACAGCAGUAACACUAGAUGAUACAAUGAAAUGAUUUACAGUACAUAAAGAAGUAUAUCUUGCCACUGCCAGUGACAUUGUGGACUUAUGAAAAUUCAACCAAGAAGCUUUGAAGAUACACAGAUAUCAACUAUAUAUCUCAAUGGGGUGUAGUAUGGUAUGCCGGCGGCUGGGAUCCUGACCGCCAGCAUACCGGCAGCUGGUAGAGCGCAAAUGAGACCCUUGUGGGCACGGUGGCGCACUAUGCGUGCCACGCUGUUUAUUCUCCCUCCAGGGGGGUCGUGGACCCCCAAGAGGGAGCAUAGUUGUUGGUAUGCCAGGUGUCGGUAUUCCGGCGCCGGUAUACUGACCGCCGGGAUCCCAACAGCCGGCAUACUGAAUACCACCCAUCUCAAUGAACCUAAUCCUGAGCUUUGGCUUUCAAAUUACUGCCCAUUCAAAGUUGAUGUCCAAAAUGUGUUAUGUGUUAUGUGUUAUGAGUACACAAGCUCUGUCUUUAUUUGUCUUUUAUUUCCUGUGUUGUAUUUUGACAUUUUAAUGUUAUUAUUACAUUGGUAUUUGUGUACCAGUAUAAAUGCACUUGCCUGUAUAAGGUGCACCUUUAUUAUAACUAUUUCUGUAGCUUCUCCAUAUUGAACAGGUCUUUACAGAUAAUAAUUAGUCACUCACACUAGUCCUUUCUCCUUCAGAGCUUACAGACUAAGGGGUACAUUUACUAAGCAGUGAUAAGAGUGGAGAAGUGAGCCAGUGGAUACAUUUCAACCAAUCAGCAGAUCUGUAUCAUUUUAUAAUAUGCAAAUUAUAGAUGUUACUUCAGUGCUGAUUGGUUGCCAUGGGCAUCUUCUCCACUGGCUCAUGUCUCCGCCUUUAUCCCUGCUUAGUAAAUGUACCCCUUAAUUCUGUAUCGCACAAUACACACAUUUUGUCAGCAGCCAAUAAACAUACCAGAAUGAUUUUGGACUGUAGGAGAAAGCCAUAGCUGUGAGGAAACUGGAGGGCAUAUUUUGUUUUUUGCACCAUGCCAGCUAACCUGGUAGCAGUGUUAAGCUGGGUACACCCUAGAUGACGGAUCGGAACAACACAUCGUUAUAAAUGUCUAGUGUGUACGCACUAUGUCGCUGAGGGUGCGUGCUCCCAUAUGUCAUCAGUGACAUCCUCCAUCAGACCUACAUCGCUGGCAUCGGCAAGUGUGUAUGCACUUGUUAAUGCCGGCACCUCCGCCGGGUCAUGUCGCCACCAAUGUCAUGUUUGGCACACAUCGUCUAAUGUGUACCCAGCAUUAUGCUUCAGCCUAGGAUGCACAGUAGCUUUAGGAGCUCGGAGGUUAUACACAAAAAUAGGCUUUAUUGCACAAAGUCAACUCAUAUAAUACAAAUGCCAGGGGAUUUACCAACAGAGACGGCCAUAGGCAUAGGCAAACUAGGCAAUUGCCUAGGGCAUUUGAUAUGCCUAGGGGCAUCAUCAGCUUCUGCUGAUUAAAAUGAUAUGCGGCAUGCCUAUAUUCUGUAUGUGGCAUUUCAUAUGCAGAUACAGCCACAGUCUCACACAGUAUAUAGGCAUGCUGCAUAUCAGUUUAAUCAGCAAUAGCUUCUUGUGCAUCCUAGCCACAUAGCAAUGCAAAUAAGAUGCAUUUUCAUUAAAAAAAAGGUGCCCGACGUUAGCAUUGAUGCAAGAUUUGUAAGGACACAUCUGUAUCCAAGCAGAGGCAGAGGUCACAGUGUUAGUGGAAGUGUGAGUGCUAUGUGCAUGUAGUGUUCGGAAUGUGUGUAAGGAGCAUUAUGUGUGUCAUGUAAAAAUGCAUUAAUAAUGUGCAACAUAUGUGUAAAGGGCCACUAUGUGUGUCAUUAUGUGUAUAAGGGCAUUAAUAAUAUGCGGCAUAUGUGUAAGGGACAUUAUGUGUAAAAGGGCAUUAAUAAAGGUUGUCAUAAUGUGUAAGGUGCAUUAUGUUUAUAAGGACAUUAAUGUGCCUCAUAUGUGUAAGGGGCAUUACUGUGUGGAAUUGUGUAUAAAUGCAUUACUAAUGUGUGGCAUUAUGUGUAUAAGGUGCUCUACUAUGUGGCGUUGCAUAUAGAAAGGGCACUACUGUGUCGUCUAAUGUGAAUAAAGAGCAAUAAGGUGUGGUGUAAUGUGAAUAAGGAGCAAUUCAGUGUGAUGUAAUGUGAAUAAGGGGCUCUACUGUGAGAAAUAACGUUUAUAAGGUAAAGUGAUACUACUGUGCAAUG